Brassica oleracea var. oleracea is the source of this 665-nucleotide long non-coding RNA. RefSeq lists it as uncharacterized. The transcript has 3 exons. NCBI's taxonomy places the organism in Eukaryota, Viridiplantae, Streptophyta, Magnoliopsida, Brassicales, Brassicaceae. The record is from RefSeq and is a predicted model, not a curated record.
UUGCGUUGCCGCUCCUCUCUUGCUUCGCUAAACAAACGUAAUGCUUUUUGUUUCUUCCAUAUUCUGAUUCCCCUUUGGGUUUUACCGAGUGAGUUUAACCUUCACUGUUCUGAUUUUCUGGGUUUCAACAAGUAAAAGAAGAAGAGAAAAGCAAAUUGGUUGGUAACUUUUUCACGAGCUGUGGCUUGCAUAGGCUGGGGAAGGAAAGACUCGUGGGUAGCUGAGUCCAUUUGCAGGGACUAAACAUCUUGAUGUGGCCGCCGAGCGGUUCUUUACAGUGAUAUUCUGCAAUUGAGGUUGUAUAUGCGGAGAACAGUGAGAGAUGCAGCAAGAAUGAAAAGGAAGAUGUUGAGGGUGAUCUCUUGGUGAUAUCUCACAUAAUAUACAAUGUCCACAACUUUUGUACCUUAUCAGUUUCUUUUUUUUUCCUGAUCUCAGUGGUUAUGCAAUGCAGACAAGUCACCACAUGAACCUUGUUUGGCUUGUGAAGUGACUCAAAGAAGAUCGUCGAGUGACUAGCUUUAAAGAUUCAUGUUGUUGUCUGUGUAAUGUCUCUGUCUUAGCUAUGUGGUGGAAUGAUCUCUAGUCCCAUGUCUAAUAGUGUAGUUUAUGAUCUAUAUGUGUACUUUUUAAGUUGUGGUUGCUUUUGUAAACUUGAAACUAGA